RNAcentral lists this ribosomal RNA (119 nucleotides) under Pteropus alecto (black flying fox). Lineage: Eukaryota; Metazoa; Chordata; Mammalia; Chiroptera; Pteropodidae. The record is from RNAcentral.
GUCUACAGCCAUGCCACCUUGAACAAGCCUAAUUCUGUCUGAUCUCGGAAGCUAAGCAGAGUCAGGCCUGGUUAGUACUUGGAUGGGAGACCACCUAAGAAGACCAGGUGCUGUAGGCA